CUACGGGGGGCAGCAGUGAGGAAUAUUGGACAAUGGAUGGCAAUCUGAUCCAGCCAUGCCGCGUGAAGGAAGAAUGUCCUAUGGAUUGUAAACUUCUUUUGUAUGGGAGCAAUAAGUUGUACGCGUACAAUGAUGAGAGUACCAUACGAAUAAGCAUCGGCUAACUCCGUGCCAGCAGCCGCGGUAAUACGGAGGAUGCGAGCGUUAUCCGGAUUUAUUGGGUUUAAAGGGUGCGUAGGCGGUUACUGUAAGUCAGCGGUGAAAUUUAGGGGCUUAACCCCUACCGUGCCGUUGAUACUGCAGAGCUGGAAUAGGGAUGCUGUUGGCGGAAUGUGUAGUGUAGCGGUGAAAUGCAUAGAUAUUACACAGAACACCGAUUGCGAAGGCAGCUGACAAAUCCCUUAUUGACGCUGAUGCACGAAAGUGUGGGGAUCGAACAGGAUUAGAUACCCGCGUAGUC
Molecule: ribosomal RNA, 460 nt
Filed under: uncultured bacterium
Lineage: Bacteria
Description: partial 16S ribosomal RNA
Rfam family: Bacterial small subunit ribosomal RNA
Source: RNAcentral